UCCUACGGGAGGCAGCAGUAAGGAAUAUUGGUCAAUGGAGGCAACUCUGAACCAGCCAUGCCGCGUGCAGGAAGACGGCCCUAUGGGUUGUAAACUGCUUUUGUACCAGAGAAAACCCUCUUACGUGUAGGAGGUUGACAGUAUGGUAAGAAUAAGCAUCGGCUAACUUCGUGCCAGCAGCCGCGGUAAGACGAAGGAUGCAAGCGUUAUUAAUC
RNAcentral lists this ribosomal RNA (215 nucleotides) under uncultured bacterium. Its description in RNAcentral is "partial 16S ribosomal RNA". It matches the Rfam family "Bacterial small subunit ribosomal RNA", at positions 337 to 545 of the family's 1533-position model. The record is from RNAcentral.